Molecule: long non-coding RNA, 4648 nt
Filed under: Heterocephalus glaber (naked mole-rat)
Lineage: Eukaryota; Metazoa; Chordata; Mammalia; Rodentia; Bathyergidae
Description: lncRNA (ENSHGLG00100033324.1)
Source: RNAcentral
GGUCAUCCUGGGGUCACCCUGGGGACAGUCUAGGGAAGGAGAAGGCCGUGGCAACAGGGGGGAGGUGAGAAAGGGGGUGGGGAAAAUGGCAGCUGAGGGACUGGCCAGGAGCUGCUAUCCUUUGUCUGCCUGGCUUUUACGCGUGUGUGGGGACAAAGCCUCUCUGCUAGAAAGGGCUCCUUUUCCCUAGAGAUCUGCGGUGUGUGAGUGUGUGUGUGUGUGUGUGUGUGUGUGUGUGCGCGCGCGCGCACCGCGCCUACCCCUCUCCGAGGCUCUGGUGGGAAUGACUCAGCAACACAGCCAAGCCUGCUCCAUUCUGCCAGCUCCAUGCAUCUGCCACCCGUCCUCGGCCUUGUCCUGCUUCUUAUCCCUGCAGCACCCACACAGCUGGCCCACAGGCCUGACUCCCUGAUGCCAGUCACAAAGCCGGAAGCCAUCCUGGGGUGGGGCUGCCUCAGACCCUCCCUCAGCUCUCACCCUGGCCCCUUCCAGCUGCUUCUCUAUGCAUGGGGAUCCUCACAGGACCUCGUUCACCACUGCCCAGUGAGGACGCACUCUGACUGUCCUCAUCCACAGAUUCAGAAAAGGAGCACCACCAGGCCACCCCCCAUUUGUGCCCUCUACUGAGGGAUAGGUCUGUCCCCAGGGCUAAAGUUACCAGCACGGACACUCACUAAAGGACUGCAGCAGCAGCAAUGAAGAGAAACAGCUAGAAACAACCUGUGCUCAUCCGGAAAGAUGCUUCCUGUAAAUCACUGUGCAUCUGCAGGGCAGGACCCCCAGCAGCCACUGGAGAGGCUAGGCGCUGUCUGUGCACGAAUUGGACUCGAGUUUUAACUAGGCAAAGAGCCACCUGGAAUAAAGACUUAUCUCCUAAUCAUCUUUGCAUGUAGAUUUGCUCACGUGACUAUGUCCCAGCAAAUGGGAGCCAAAUGGAAGUAUGAGUAAGUUCCAAAGAGUGCCCUAGGGGACAGAGAUAUGCCUUUGCUCAUGCCUUCUUUCCCCCAUUCUGCUGAUGAGAUGGUGACUUGAUGGCUAGCCACUGAGCAGCCUGGGUUUGUUUUUCUUUUGGUACCAGGGAUCGAACUUGGGUCCUUGCACUUGCGCAGCAGGAGGCGAAACCACUGAGCUAAAUCCCUGGCCCUGAGCAGCCUGUUUGGACCAUGAAUUGAAAGGUACAUACUAGAGAAUGGUAGGUAAAUUAUAUACAAGGGGGCUGAGUCCUAAUAUCAUGAAGGACCAGCCCUGUGCUGCUGCUUCAACAUGAGAACAAGAAGGACAACUGAGGUUUCAGGGAACAGGGAGCUAGGGAGAGCCUGGGUCCCUCUUGACAAUGUAGAGUGGCCAUAUUAACUCUGGGGCUUCCAUUACAUGAGAGGAGACACAUACUAUCUUAGGCAAGCCACUAUCUCCUUAGGUAUCCUGUCCCUUCCCAGCCAUCGAACCCCAAGUGAAAGCCAUGAGCCAGCUCCUCCAGGAUGAGGGUAGGGGAGAGCCUGCUAAGCUUUUCCCCCUCCCUGUCCUUGGGGAGUGCUCAGUCAGGAAGGGGCCUAGGAGCUAGGAAGGGGGAGGCAAAGCCUCUUUUCCUCCAGUCCCAGAGGAAUGGGAUGAGUGUGAUCCUGAAAUGAGAUGCAGGGCUUGGGUGUAGUUCAGAGGCAGAAUGUGUGCUUAGCCUGCUGAAAGUCCCAGGUUCCAUCCCUAGAAGCAAAAAAACAAAACAAACAAAACAGCAACCAUGUUAACUACUCUGGCCCCGGGGGAUUACAGGUAAUUUGAGGGUAGAGACCAGCACAAUGCAUAGCAUACAGUAGGUGCUCAAUAAACCUUUGCGGGCUAAUUAUGUGAUAUCCUGUAACCAGCACUCCCUCCACAGUGCAGCUCAGCCUCUCAGACCAACUGUGCAGCUCUGAGUUUUCUCAGUGGAGGAUGUCCCUCUGGGACAAGGUGAUUCAAAGCUUGCGACACAUGGUCAUGCUCAGGGUAGCACUGGCUCCUCACAACUCCAACAACAGGGGCUAUGACUGCAAUCUUCAGAGGAGAAAGCAAGGACCCGGAACUUGGAAACUGCUUGCUCAGGAUCAGCCACGAGGAAGUGCAGGAGCAGGAACUUGAACCCCGGGUUUUGAAUGAAAAACUUCACCUACCUGAAACAAAGGCUGCACAUGAGAUUCUUACACAAAGGCACCCUUUUCCCAACUGCUCAUCCCAACACGGAGGCCCUGGGUCAGGUUUGUGACGUCCUGAGGUGCUGAAGGGGUGGGACAAGGGAGGGGAAAGCUGUCAGGCAAUCCCUCAGCAGCUUGGAGGUCUGGGAGACAGAUUCGACCAGCACUGGUGAUAGCCCAAACAGUGCAUUUGCACAAACAGAACAAGGAACAGAAACUCGAGUUGCUUUACUGCCAUCUACUGGAAAUUUGUCAUAAUAAUCAUUCAAAUUUGUGGUAAAUGGGGAAAAAAAAAGAAGCCUCCCUAGAAUCAUACAGUGUAGAACCUGAACAACAUGUGGAGCAGCCCUAGAUGCACCUUUUCUCACUUGAGAGCAUGAAAAAAAAAAAAAAAAAAGACCCAUCACCAUGGAGGCUCCAGUCCUGUCUGCUUCCUUCUUGCAUGAGAGUCCCUGGCUCAUCCAGAGGUGCUACAGCCAUCUGCCUGCCCUAGUUUCACCAUGAGACCCAGUAGAAUCCAUGCAUCCUUCCACCCACUCCAGGCACACAUCCCAGACACCUACGCUGGGCCAGGUACCUAUCUGAAUUUUUCACCAAUUACUAGCUGUGCGUACUUGGACAUUUUCUUAGGCUACUGUCUACUCUUCAGUAUGAAGGGAUAAUAACCCAGCUGGCACUGUGAAUGAGACUUAAGUGAGAUAAUAUAUGUAAAGUCCUAGAAGCCAGUGGCUGACCCUGGACCUACUGCCAGCACCAUUAGAUCUGAGUUACACACAUGCAUGCAUGGGUGGCCAAAGGGAAGACAGGCUCUGGCACAUCUUCCCUCAGAAACAAUCAGGAAACUGUGGCACAAAUGCAUGAAUAUAAAGUUCUCAGUGUGAAGCUGAGCCCAGAGCACAGUGAGUGCCUGGGCACUGGCUUUUCUCCUUUUCCUCUAGUCCUGGCUGGAUCUGAAGCUGGCUAGGUGAGUUCAGGGUCCCUUUGAUUCCCAGGGAGAGAGAACAGUUGCAAGUUUCCUUUACCUGCAGGAAGAGGCUUCCAGACUACUGUGUGGCCAAGCCUCUGGACACCUCCAUUUCUGGCUCAAAGCAAGGCCACAGACCCAUAGAGUUUUAGUUUCUUCAUCCAUGAAAUGAAGCCAGUCAUAUUUACUUUGUAGCCAUUUAGGUAAUGCAAGAAGUAACUAAAAGGCCUCCAACCAUGCUGGAAACAAGCUAAACACAAAAUAAAUUAGAGAUGCAAUCUCAGCUCUGGGACCCAGGGGGCGUCUGGAGCCAGCUGAAGGAUUCUAUUCUCUGCCAUCAAACUGCCUACCACAAUUGGCAUGAGCACUUGAAAUUGCAGGUCCUAAAACUGAUGAGGAGGCAGGAUUGAGCUCACUCCAUCUCGCUCCUCCUAUGGGAGGGAAGUUGGUACACACUUUCCAGUGGGUAGGUAGGCAACAGGAUCCUUUUGACCCAGCCAUUUCAUUUCUAGGAAUUCAGCUAAGGAAAUAGUCACAGGCCCCUCAGAGUGUUGUGCUAGGACAUUCAUUGCAAUGUUGCUAAUAAUAGUGAGAAACUGGAAAUAAUCUAAAGUUAGAGACACAUUCAAUACACAUCUUGGCUGGAUGCCAAAUGGUCAAGUGCUAAGAUCAGUACUCAGCAGAAGCCAAGGCCAACGCUUUCCACCAUCUUCAUGCAGCCAGUGUCUUUGGUAAAGGAGUGAAUUUCAAGAAAAUGUUAUCAGACUUUGCAGUGCCAACAUCCUAAUCGACAUGUUUCACUGCCAGUGUUUGACAGUCUAACGUUACAGCUCAAGAACAGCAUUUUCUCAGUAUUAGCAGAAGAUGGAUUGUUUCUAUGUUAAAUACUGUGCACAUUUGUGUUAAUAAAUUGAUGCUUACAUUGACUGAUGCUUGUGGGAGAGUGUGACGGCCUCAUUUUUUCCCAAUACUUUCUUCUUUUCUCCAUAUUCUGUAUAUUCUUUCCCAUGUUGGGUUAAAUAUGAUUUGCCACAGAAAUAUUGAUCAAAAACUAUAGUCAAUGUUUAAAUAAAAAAUUAUUACAGAAAAGACACAUUGUCAUUAGUCCCCCUCACUUUGAACACACUUAUUCUAUUAUUCUUGCCACUUUCUGAAGCAGUUCUAGAAGUCUUCUUUUGUGAGUGUUUUUUUGUGUGUGAGUGCGUGUGUGUGCCUGCCUCAAUGUCCUGAACUAAUUAAAAAUGUUUACAGCAACUUCUGGCAAAUAAAAACAUUGCAGUGUGUCCUCAUCCACCUUACUUGUCAGAUCUAGCACCGUGAGGUUUCUGGUUCUUCCCCAAAGUCAAAAUGAUCAUGAAAGGUAAAUGUUUUGAACCAAUUCAAGAGAUUGAGGGACAGCCACAACAGUGCAAAUAAAGACACUCACAAAAGAAGACUUUCAGAACUGCUUCAGACAGUGGCAAAAAUGAUGGGAGAAGUGUGUUCCAAAGAGGAGGAGUAUUCUGAGGGGAAUUAAUGG